RNAcentral lists this ribosomal RNA (1966 nucleotides) under Candidatus Poseidoniales archaeon. RNAcentral describes it as "partial 23S ribosomal RNA". It matches the Rfam family "Archaeal large subunit ribosomal RNA", at positions 19 to 2076 of the family's 2987-position model. The record is from RNAcentral. Lineage: Archaea; Methanobacteriati; Thermoplasmatota; Candidatus Poseidoniia; Candidatus Poseidoniales.
CAAUUGGGGGAUGGCUCGGCUCGAGAGCCGACGAAGGUCGUGACAAGCUGCGAUAAGUCGCGGGGAGAGGCAUGAAUCUCUUUGAUCCGCGAAUUGCCGAAUUGGACCUCCUGACAUAUGUCAUUCCUCGUUUUAACAACGUAGGAAAGGGAACCCCCCGAACUGAAGCAUCUCAGUAGGGGGAGGAAAAGAAAUCAAUAGAAAUUCCGUGAGUAGUGGCGAAUGAAAACGGAAUAGGACAAACCGAAUCUCCUUGGGAAACCUUGGAGAGAUGUGGAGUAUGGACACUAGUAGCCUUAGUCCGGGAAGUAGAAGUCGUCCUGGAACGGCGCACCAAAGAGGGUGAAAGUCCCGUAUACGUGCCGGAUAUGGCCAUGUAGUGGAUCCUGAGUAGCGUGCGUUGGAUAUCGCGCGUGAAUAUGGGAGGCAUAGACUUCCAAUCCUAAAUACUACUCGAGACCGAUAGUUGACAAGUAGCGUGAGCGAAAGCUGAAAAGUAUCCUUAGCGGGAUGUGAAAAGAACCUGAAACCAAUUGGGAACAAGCUGAAUAGGCGUGAAAGCGAAGAUAUGAGCAGCGUCUAUUCGUGCGUUUCGAAAAAUGCUCCUGGGAGUUCUGAUCAUUGGCGAGGUUAAGCAGUAUAUCUGCGAAGCCGUAGGGAAACCGAAUAGUCCGCAGCCGCAAGGCGAGGGACUGGGUGUGCUCGCCCGGAGUCAAUGGUGGGAGACCUGAAGCCCGUCGAUCUAUGCCUGACCAGAUUGAAGCCCGACGAAAGUUGGGUGGAGGAUCAAACCGUUGCUGAUGUGCAAAUCGCUCGGACGAGUUUGGUAUAGGGGUGAAAGUCCAAUCGAGAUGGGCAAUAGCAGGUUCCGCGCGAGACUACUCGUAGGUAGAUCUCUGUGGAGGUAGAAUGCGAUGUAGAGCACUGAUUGUAUGUUUAGGGGGAGCAAUCCCUCGGCACGCUGUCAAACUCCGAAUUUGUGUUCGCCGUAGAAGCAGGGAGUGAGCCACGGUGGGUAAGCUACCGUGACGAAAGGUGAAUAAACCAGCUCAGCGUUAAGGUCCCAAAAUUUCAGUUAAGUGUUAAUCACAAACGGCGUCCGUGGCCGAAGACAACCAGAAGGUGGGCUUAGAAGCAGCCAUCCUUGAAAGAGUUCGUAACAGAUCACUGGUCAAGUUUGCGGGCCCGAAAAAUGGACGGGGCUCAAACUGAAUACCGAUACGCUGACCCUUCGAAAGAAGAUGGGGUAGCGCGGCGAUGUGCUCGGGUAGAAGCGAGGUCGUAAGGUCUCGUGGACCGUGUACAUAUGAGAAUCCAGGAAAGAGUAGCAGCAUAGUGUGGUGAGAAUCCGCACCACCGAAGGGGUAAGGGUUCCUCGGCAAUGUUUUUCAGCCGAGGGUUAGUCGGUCCUAAGGGCAUUCUUAACCGAAAUGUCCGAAUGGGAAAUGCGUUAAUAUUCGUAUACCCCUCUACAAUAAAUGGUGACGGCUCGGGCUAGUUCGUGCAUUCCUGUCAUGGGAUGUCGAAGCGUUCGAUAACCGAUCGGAGAACCGUCAUGGUGAGAAGAUCGGGAAGGCGUGAGCAAAAGACGAAUGAUGCCUGGGUCCCAUGAAAAGCCGUAGAGGUGACCGUACCUAGAACUGACACAGGUACCCAAGGUGAGUAGCCUAAGGUGUGACGGGCAAAGUACCGCGAAGGAACUCGGCAAAAUCGCUCUGUAACUUCGGGAGAAGGAGUGCCAGCUUAGAGAUAAGCUGGUCGCAGUGACCAGGGGACUCCGACUGUUUAAUAAAAACAUAGGCGACUGCUAGAUCGAAAGGUUGUGUAUAGUCGCUGAAUCCUGCUCAGUGCUGGUAUCUGAAAUCGGGUUACAACCUGACGAAGGACCAGUAAACAGCGGGGGUAACUAUGACCCUCUUAAGGUAGCGUAAUACCUUGUCGCUUAAUUGGCGACUUGCAUGAAUGG